CAGGGGUCUCAUUUAUAACCGUUGCGUAUGCACAAAACGGGGCUGAAAGUUGCGUACGUGACUUUUCACGCCAAGGUUGUGAUCUAUGAAAAACUAACUUGGCGGGAGAAUGUGCGCAGCCCUAAGCAAACUCUGACCCAUGCGUACGCAUGGUUUGGAGGAGAAGGAGAUUUGGCGACACAGAUGGUGUGGUGGUGAACUGAAGUCAGACUGAAGAAAUGUAGAGGGAGUAGAACGAUUAUGUUUUAUCAUCCCCCUUCAUAAGUUGAAGUUCAAUCCGUAUCAUGUGUUAAAUCAUAGUAGGGCCUAAUCAGAAUAAUUUUUGAAUAAUUAAAAUUAAAAUUCUCUAUAGGCCUAUUUAAUCCCGUCACUCCAUACUGUCCACUCCCGGAUCGCAGGAGGAGGAGAGGACGGCGCGACUGCAUGGAAUAAAGCAUCUGUCCAACAUGUGUCAAUAUCAUAAUAUUUUUAUGUGACACUGUAAACACAUAAUCAAAAUCAAAUGUCAAUUAAAUCCCAAGUGUGGAAAAUCAAGCCACACCCUCAUCACAAUCGUUAUAUUAUAGUCCGUUCCUCUUGAUGCUUUUCAUGACAAAUCAGGCAUUCAAAAGGGGUUAUAUUCAAGAACAUUUUACGUGGGUAAUUACAAACUGAUUAACCAAGCUGUUCUCGGUCAGUUUUAUUACCGUAACCCUAUACAUGAUACAGCGGUGAGCCCAGUGCGUAAUGCUGCACCAUGGCACUGCUGGCACUGCUGGAGGACCAUGCAAAUGGCAUGAUUCGGAGGGAGAGGGUCUUCAGGGACCAUAACGAUUUGUUGGCCCAUGAUGAUGACUGGCUAAUGAGCCGUUUUAGAUUCCCUAGAGCUAUGCUCUUGGAUCUAUGUGCUGAACUGGGUCCAGCAUUGGAAAGGGCAACACGUAGGAACCACGCAAUCCCGGUGCAGACGCAGGUCCUCACCACUUUGGGGUUCCUGGCAACCGGCUGUUUCAAACGGGAAUUGGCAGACAGGUAAGUAUCCGGUAUAUCACAGCCAUCCCUCAGUGCCCUAAUGCUCAGCGUUUUGAAUGGCAUCAUACAUAUGGGCAGUCGAUACAUAAGGUUUCCCUACACAGUGGAAGAACAGGCCGAGAUUAAAAGGCAAUUUGCAGCAAUGUCCGAUUUCCCAAAUGUAAUCGGCGCAAUUGACUGCACUCAUAUUGCUAUAAGGGCUCCAUCUGAACAUGAGUUCGCUUACGUCAACCACAAGCACGUGCACACUAUUAAUGUUCAAGUUAUAUGUGAUGCCCAUAUGAACUUGACAAACAUAGUGGCACGUUGGCCUGGUGCAACACAUGAUUCCUUUAUUCUGACGCACAGUAGUGUAGGGAACAGACUACAGGCAGGCGCGGGGCGGGAUGGCUGGCUUCUAGGGGACAGUGGAUACCCCCUGAGACGCUGGCUCCUCACCCCAGUUUUGAACGCGCAAAGCGCCGAGGAACAACGAUAUAAUGAGGUCCAUGGCCGUGCUCGUUCAGUGGUGGAGCGCGCCAUCGGCCUCCUGAAGUGCCGGUGGCGCGCUCUGGAUGCGUCGGGGGGAGGCUUUUAUACCAGCCUGCCAAAGUGUGCCGCAUUAUAAGGGCUUGUGGUGUGCUGCACAAUUUGUCCCAGAGGAACGGCAUCCCUCUCCCCCCCGACCUCCCUCCCCCCGAGCUUGACCCGGAGGCCCAGCCCCCUCCGAGGCAAGUCGGAUUUCAACAGGGUGCAAGAGUACGUGCGGAUGUCAUGCGGCGUUUAUGAAAUGAAGACGACUCAAGGUUAAUUUUUUCACAGUA
Molecule: long non-coding RNA, 1814 nt
Organism: Gadus macrocephalus (Pacific cod)
Lineage: Eukaryota; Metazoa; Chordata; Actinopteri; Gadiformes; Gadidae
Exons: 4
Source: RefSeq, a predicted model, not a curated record